RNAcentral lists this microRNA precursor (56 nucleotides) under Monodelphis domestica (gray short-tailed opossum). Its description in RNAcentral is "microRNA mdo-mir-7262g precursor". Lineage: Eukaryota; Metazoa; Chordata; Mammalia; Didelphimorphia; Didelphidae. The record is from miRBase by way of RNAcentral.
AAAGUCUUACUGCAGUUUGAGGUUUAUUAAAGCUUAAAACGGCACUAAGACUUUUG